GAGUUUGAUCUUGGCUCAGAACGAACGCUGGCGGCAUGCCUAACACAUGCAAGUCGAACGAACUCUUCGGAGUUAGUGGCGCACGGGUGCGUAACGCGUGGGAAUCUGCCCUUGGGUACGGAAUAACUCAGAGAAAUUUGUGCUAAUACCGUAUAAUGACUUCGGUCCAAAGAUUUAUCGCCCAAAAGAUGAGCCCGCGUAAGAUUAGCUAGUUGGUGGGUAAAGGCCUACCAAGGCUACGAUCUUUAGCUGGUCUGAGAGGAUGAUCAGCCACACUGGGACUGAGACACGGCCCAGACUCCUACGGGAGGCAGCAGUGGGGAAUAUUGGACAAUGGGCGAAAGCCUGAUCCAGCAAUGCCGCGUGAGUGAUGAAGGCCUUAGGGUUGUAAAGCUCUUUUACCCGGAUGAUAAUGACAGUACCGGGAGAAUAAAGCUCCGGCUAACUCCGUGCCAGCAGCCGCCGUAAG
This 469-nucleotide ribosomal RNA is filed under the name uncultured microorganism. Its description in RNAcentral is "bacterial SSU rRNA". It matches the Rfam family "Bacterial small subunit ribosomal RNA", at positions 9 to 524 of the family's 1533-position model. The record is from RNAcentral.